UGUAGUCUCGCACAGAUGCAUAUCAAUAAGCGGAGGAAAAGAAACUAACAAGGAUUCCCCUAGUAACGGCGAGUGAAGCGGGAAGAGCUCAAAUUUGAAAUCUUAAAGGGUUUCCCUUUACGAAUUGUAGUUUAAAGAAGUGUUUUCUGUUGAGGUUUUGGUAAAAGUUCUUUGGAAUAGGACAUCAUAGAGGGUGAGAAUCCCGUAUUUGACCUUUACUUUCAACUUUGUGAUCCACUUUCAAAGAGUCGGAUUGUUUGGGAAUGCAGUCCAAAAUGGGUGGUAAAUUUCAUCUAAAGCUAAAUAUUGACGAGAGACCGAUAGCGAACAAGUACCGUGAGGGAAAGAUGAAAAGAACUUUGAAAAGAGAGUUAAACAGUACGUGAAAUUGUCAAAAGGGAAGCGUUUGACACCAGUGUUGCUUUUCUGAAAAUCAAUUAAAGAACUGUUUAUGCUAAGUUGUUUAGACUUUAUCAGCUAAUCUGCUUCAGUUUUGAGCUUUUCUUUAAUGCACUUUUCAGUUAACAAGUCAACAUCAAUUUCUUUUGCUGUAAAAAAGCUUGAGGAAGGUGGCUUGAGAUUCGUCUUAAGUGCUUAUAGCCUCUUGCCUAUGCAGUCGGAGAGAUUGAGGUCUGCAGCGUAGAUCCUUCGGGGCUAAAUGCAUUUGUGCUAAGUUAUAGCAUUUUAUAGACAACUUGUUGACUAUGAUUUGUCUUGUAGCUUACUCGCUUAUGUUAUUUUACCUACGCUUAGGAUGUUGACGCAUGAGAUAUACGC
This 777-nucleotide ribosomal RNA is filed under the name uncultured Neocallimastigales. RNAcentral describes it as "partial large subunit ribosomal RNA". It matches the Rfam family "Eukaryotic large subunit ribosomal RNA", at positions 24 to 647 of the family's 3401-position model. Lineage: Eukaryota; Fungi; Neocallimastigomycota; Neocallimastigomycetes; Neocallimastigales. The record is from RNAcentral.